This 273-nucleotide ribosomal RNA is filed under the name uncultured bacterium. Its description in RNAcentral is "partial 16S ribosomal RNA". It matches the Rfam family "Bacterial small subunit ribosomal RNA", at positions 524 to 796 of the family's 1533-position model. The record is from RNAcentral.
UACGGAGGGGGCUAGCGUUGUUCGGAAUUACUGGGCGUAAAGCGCACGUAGGCGGCUAUCCAAGUUGGGGGUGAAAUCCCUGGGCUUAACCCAGGAACUGCCUUCAAAACUGGAUGGCUAGAGUCCGAGAGAGGUGAGUGGAAUUUCCAGUGUAGAGGUGAAAUUCGUAGAUAUUGGAAAGAACACCAGUGGCGAAGGCGGCUCACUGGCUCGGUACUGACGCUGAGGUGCGACAGCGUGGGGAGCAAACAGGAUUAGAUACCCGCGUAGUCC